UGUACUACUUGCUCGUAGAUGGAACCCCAAGGCGAUUAUGGCAAACCACCAUGUUAGGAGCAUAAAUGUCAAAAAUCGUUCGUAAAUUUUAUUCACGAACGAUUCUCGGCAGAACUUCGGCUCCCUCGAGAAUUUUCAAUUUUGAUAAAAAGGUCUUCGCGACCAGGAAAAAAUCUCUUUUCCCUGGAAAUCUCGAAAGUUAGAGAAGUGCGCGAAAGUUAAUUUAAAACAAAAGUUUGUAAGAAGAAAAAUAGGAAAGUGGAAGUGUGAAUAAUUACGGGUUAUUGUUUCUUUGUUUUAGGUGGCAAUUGUUAUUAGGACAAUUAGUUUUGUUAGUUACAAUAAAGAUAAAAGAAAGCGUGUUAGUAGUGUGAAAAGUGUAAAGAAACAUAGUAAGAUUAGUGGUUAAUAGUGAUUAUUGUCCUAAAGUAACGGUGUUGAUUUGUUAUAGAUUUUUCAUAAAACGCUAUAAAUCACGAGAAGAAACCGCUACUGUUAGUGUAGAAGCAGAAGAAAAAGAGGCCUAAGAGUUAUGACGUCACGGGGUAUUAAUUGAAAGGGCAGGUCCACAAAGCGGGCCUUUUUCUGUCUUUUGUGCAGUUUCUUGGCAGACGACGAACCGGAAGCAACGAAAGUGGAGACAGUGGACUCGGAAGUGGACAGGACCUAAGCGCAUCCAGGUCGAGAACAGCACCAUUCGCCCUUUUGCUGUUGGGGAAAAAUCGAUACCAGCCCUGGUGGCCGUCGAAUGCCACCGUCGCCAUCUUCCAAGCCACCAAACUUCCAUUGUAGUUCUCUGCUACCACCUGUGUCGCCAACCCUGCACGUGACCGGUUCCUAGUGGUGAAUCCGGUACCCGAACACCAUCUGCGGCCCCUACGCCGGAAAGCCGGCCCCGCAGCGAGAAAGUAAUCGCCGUUGAUCACCAUCCAGCGGCCAAAGCAACCAUCCAUCGGUCCGUUACCGCCGAGCGUUGUGAACGUCGGCAACCGGCCGGCCAGCCCGAAGUCAUACCCUCCAAGCCCCGCAUGUCACCGUAACCGCCACCAGCCCUGUCAGGAUCGCGAUCCGAACGCCGAAACACGCAAGUACUCCGCAUGACGUCAUGAAUAAAUUGUAACACUAUUAUGAAAA
Molecule: long non-coding RNA, 1134 nt
Organism: Aedes albopictus (Asian tiger mosquito)
Lineage: Eukaryota; Metazoa; Arthropoda; Insecta; Diptera; Culicidae
Exons: 2
Source: RefSeq, a predicted model, not a curated record